UGGGGAAUCUUAGACAAUGGGGGAAACCCUGAUCUAGCCAUGCCGCGUGUGUGAUGAAGCCCUUAGGGGUGUAAAGCACUUUCAACGGUGAAGAUAAUGACGGUAGCCGUAGAAGAAACCCCGGCUAACUCCGUGCCAGCAGCCGCGGUAAUACGGAGGGGGUUAGCGUUGUUCGGAAUUACUGGGCGUAAAGCGCGCGUAGGCGGACUAUUAAGUCAGGGGUGAAAUCCCGGGGCUCAACCCCGGAACUGCCUUUGAUACUGGUAGUCUUGAGUUCGAGAGAGGUGAGUGGAAUUCCGAGUGUAGAGGUGAAAUUCGUAGAUAUUCGGAGGAACACCAGUGGCGAAGGCGGCUCACUGGCUCGAUACUGACGCUGAGGUGCGAAAGCGUGGGGAGCAAACAGGAUUAGAUACCCCCGUAGUCC
This 424-nucleotide ribosomal RNA is filed under the name uncultured prokaryote. RNAcentral describes it as "bacterial SSU rRNA". It matches the Rfam family "Bacterial small subunit ribosomal RNA", at positions 355 to 796 of the family's 1533-position model. The record is from RNAcentral.